This is a long non-coding RNA of Syzygium oleosum, 1351 nucleotides long. RefSeq lists it as uncharacterized. The transcript is spliced from 2 exons. The record is from RefSeq and is a predicted model, not a curated record. NCBI's taxonomy places the organism in Eukaryota, Viridiplantae, Streptophyta, Magnoliopsida, Myrtales, Myrtaceae.
GCUCUGUGUGCUCACUCUCUGUCUGUCACCCCCUUCUCUCUCUCUCUCUCUCUCUCUCUCUCUCUCUCUCUCUCUCUCUCUCUCUCUCUCUCUCUCUCUCUCUCUCUCUCUCUCUCUGUUUUUGCUCUUCUCUUGUUUAUGCAUGUGUGAAUUUGUGAUGCAUUUUCUCUGCCUGUUGUGUGCAUGUGUGAAUUUGUGAUGCAUUUUCUCUGCCUGUUGUGUGCUUGAUCUGCCCAGAAAACCUUGCAUCUUUUUUGUUUGCUGUAGUUGUUUUAAGGUUUCAAAGUACAACCUCAGUGAACAUAUGUUUUCUUUUUUGGGUUUUACCAGAUCUUCUAUGUUUGUACUUUUAUACGCAGCUGAUAAUUUGCCCCCAGCGAAAUGGAAGAAGCUAGGGUUGAAUUGAAUUUAAUAACAAAAUUUUUCCCCUUAAUUUUUUUUUUGUGUAACUGACCGAUAGAUCCUGCUCUUGUACUUUUUUCGGUACUUAAAAUGACAAAAGGUCUGUACUUUCACCAUCCAAAAAUUACAGUGUCCAAGAAUUCUGUCUUCCUCAAAUAAUUUAUUAGUGAGUAGUGAGAUCUUUUUUGUUUUUUGUUUUUUGUUCUUUUGGUUCUGUGUUUUUGAGUUUUAGCAGAUCUAGACUUCCUGUUUCAGAAAAACCAUCUCCAAGGUUGUAGAUUCCCCAGAAGAAUCAGAUCUAUCAGUUUAUUCUUCUUCUCCUUUCAAUCAUAUUUCAUUUCACCUUCUUCUUUACAUUGUUUAUGUUGGAGUUUUUCCUUUUCCAUUUUCCUUUUUUGGGUUUUUGCAGGGUGAUGCAUUUUGAGAUGGGUUCUUUACAGGAGUGGCAAUUUCAAUUGAUCCUGAGGUAUAUAGUUUCACAACCCAUAUGGACCAAUUGUGACUGAAGUACUCUCAUAAGUUAGAACUCUCAGUCUCAAACGAACUAAGGGCGAGCUAGAGCACUAUAAGAUCAGCAGCAAAGUAGCGAGUGACAAGAUCAUAUCCAGAAUCUUGUGAUGGCAUAAUAAGUGUAUCUUCAUGUACUUGCAAUCUGAAAAUGCUUUCUUGCUGAUUGGAUCAUGCACCUCGGUGGUGCAGAGCCAUCUCUCUUUUUGGAUAUAUGGAAUUAGAAUGGAUGUCAAAUAGGGCAUGAAUGUUCAUUGUUCUGAACAUAGCUCAGAACUCAUGUUGGCUGCAUUACUCUCGAUGAUGCUAUUACUUAAGUUAGCAAUUUAUCUUCAUUGAUGUGUUAUAUUAUCACUGGAUUCUCAGAGCACUUGUUUAAGCUUUACUAUAUGGACAGAAAAUUUGUACCUUGAGACGAUGAAGUGUUGUAAUUUUACCUCCA